Molecule: long non-coding RNA, 1469 nt
Filed under: Equus caballus (horse)
Lineage: Eukaryota; Metazoa; Chordata; Mammalia; Perissodactyla; Equidae
Description: lncRNA (ENSECAG00000054827.1)
Source: RNAcentral
CAAGGCUGGGAGCCCUUCUCUCUUCCCCAGCCAGCUCUGUGUAUGCAGGGAGCAGAGAAGGAGUCAUGGUUUCUCCAGGGAGGAAGAGAGUUCCUAGGAUGGUAACUUGGCCCCUGCUGCGCCAUCUCAGUUUACUUGGCACAGGGUCCAGCAAGCCAUGGAAGGAAGCAUGGCUGGCUAGACAAGCCUCCUAGGCUGCAAAAUUCUACAGGUGAGAGAGAUUGAGUGUGUAUAUGUAUGCGAGAGAGAAUACGGAUGAAUGGGUGAGUGAAUGAAUGAAUGAAUGAAUGAACGCUGGGCACCACCAGGGCGAACUCUGCAAGCUCUCCACCCCCGGAGGAUCCUUGGCUGAUUAAGUGGCUGGGAGAAGCCAGGAGCCCCAGAGAGAGGGCUAAGUGACUUGAUGGGGCUGGUGGUGGGGGAAGAGGUUCUAAGUGCUGUCUUGGCCUGGCCCCUGGUCUUUGUCCUUCUCAGAGCCUACCAGCCGUGGGCCUUGCUGGGCACCUGCUCUUUGUGCCUGGAACAUACUUUCACAUGGUGACUUACUUCGGUGACUUCAGGUUCACACUGAAUGUGGCCUCCCCUGAAGCCUUCAUGGACUGCUGAAAAUCAGUGGCACUCUUUGCUCCCACAGUUCCUGGCUCACCUUUGUGGGAGCGCUUAUCUCCCUGACCUGAGUUACCUUCUGCUGGCUUCCUCCCUCACUAGACUGGCAGGGCAGGGCUCUUAUCUUACUUCUGUCUCCUCACUGGAGCCUGGCACGUGGCUGCUAACCUGGCAAUGAUGAUUGAUGAUGAGGGAUGUGACAUCUUCAGGUAGCUGAGGGGCUCUCAGCUGGAAGAGGAGGCCAUCUGAUUGUGUGCCCUCACGGGCGGGACCCAGGCUACCCUAUGGAAGUUACGGGCAGACAGACAGCAGCUCACCACGAGGAGGAACUUUGUCUAUAAGAGUGGCCAUCUAGGAACCCAGACACCUUGGAGCCACUUCCCAUCUCUGCAGGUGGGACAGCUUAUGCCUACAGAGUUGAAGCUGUUUGCAUGGCUGACACAGAGGCAGAACCCAUGGUCUCCUGACCUUGCUCUGAGGUCCCAGAUCUUCCUCAGGGCUUCCAUUUCUCUACCUGUAAAAUGAGGUGACAGCAUCACAGUUGAGAAGGGGCAAGUGGAAAGCAAGGAGGAUGGUGAUCCAUCUUCCAACCCUGAGGGAGGCAUGCUGUGGGGACUAAGCAGCUGCUACCCACGAGGGCUUCAAGGAGGCAGCAUGAGCAGUGACAGGUGCCAGGAGUGACUGGAGCUCAUGGGAAGGAUGAAGGGUAUUAAACACCUACUAUCUGCUAGGCACUGUGCUGGGCUUUUGUUCACAGCCAUUAUAUUAUUUAACUUUAUCUGUGAUGAAGGAAAUGUUCUGUUCUGUGCUGUCCAAUAUGGUAGCCACUAGCCACAUGUAGCUAUUAAGCAUUUGAAAUGUGG